GACGUAGGGCGCGAGCGUUGUCCGGAUUUAUUGGGCGUAAAGGGUGUGUAGGUGGCGCCGUAAGUCGGGUGUGAAAUUUCGGAGCUUAACUCCGAAACUGCAUUCGAUACUGCGGUGCUUGAGGACUGGAGAGGAGACUGGAAUUCAUGGUGUAGCAGUGAAAUGCGUAGAGAUCAUGAGGAAGACCAGUGGCGAAGGCGGGUCUCUGGACAGUUCCUGACACUGAGACACGAAGGCCAGGGGAGCAAACGGG
This 253-nucleotide ribosomal RNA is filed under the name uncultured bacterium. RNAcentral describes it as "partial 16S ribosomal RNA". It matches the Rfam family "Bacterial small subunit ribosomal RNA", at positions 524 to 776 of the family's 1533-position model. The record is from RNAcentral.